AAUCAACGCUGGCGGCGUGCCUAACACAUGCAAGUCGAACGCGAGAGGGGCUUCGGCCCCGAUUGAGUGGCGAACGGGUGAGUAACGCGUGGGUGACCUACCUUCGAGUGGGGGAUAACGUCCCGAAAGGGACGCUAAUACCGCAUAACAUCCUGCUUUUGAAUGGGUGGAGAUCAAAGCCGGGGAUCGCAAGACCUGGCGCUUGAUGAGGGGCCCGCGUCUGAUUAGCUAGNGGUGAGGUAACGGCCCACCAAGGCAACGAUCAGUAUCCGGCCUGAGAGGGCGGGCGGACACACUGGGACUGAGACACGGCCCAGACUCCUACGGGAGGCAGCAGUGGGGAAUUGUUCGCAAUGGGCGCAAGCCUGACGACGCAACGCCGCGUGGAGGAUGAAGGUCUUCGGA
This 405-nucleotide ribosomal RNA is filed under the name uncultured bacterium. RNAcentral describes it as "bacterial SSU rRNA". It matches the Rfam family "Bacterial small subunit ribosomal RNA", at positions 29 to 422 of the family's 1533-position model. The record is from RNAcentral.